This 869-nucleotide non-coding RNA is filed under the name Gardinerosergia splendens. Lineage: Eukaryota; Metazoa; Arthropoda; Malacostraca; Decapoda; Sergestidae. The record is from RNAcentral.
CGAAAGUUUUAUCCUGGCUUUAAUUCUCAGUUUUAAAUUAAGGCACAUGUAAAUUUUAGUAAGACUAUAAGCAUAUAAUUAGAUCUUAACGACAACUAUAUGGAGUUCUUUAUAGAUAUUUUUAUAAUAAAUAAACUCUCAGUGUCUAGUGCUAAAAAAUAAAUGAAAGUUUUAGUUGGUUAUUUUAAUUAAACAAGAAUAACCGGUUAAAAUUUGUGCCAGCAGCCGCGGUUAGACUGAAGGUUAAAUUGAGAAAUUAUUAGUUAAAAGUAAUUAGAUGUAUACACAUAUCGUACAAUUAAGAUACCUGUGCUAAUAAAAGGUGAAAUUAAAUUUUUAGUUAGGAGAUAACUUAUAGUAUAAUUAAAAUAAAUAUUGAAGUUAUUAAGGUAAAGGGACAAACUAGGAUUAGAUACCCUACUAUGCUUUACUUUAAAUCAUACUACUGGGGUAGUAAGCAGCUAUAAACUUGAAACUCAAAGGAUUUGGCGGUAGCUUAGUCUACUUAGAGGAACCUGUCCUGUAAACGACAAACCACGAAAUAUCUUACCUUGCUUUGUAAACAUAUCAGCUUGUAUACCGUCAUUAUCAGAUAACUCUAUUAAGAUAAUAGUUAUUACAAUAAAAAAUUUUUAAAAUAUUAGAUCAAGGUGCAGCUAAUAACAAGGUAGAGAUGGGUUACAAUAAAUAAAACUAUUACGGAUAAAAAGCAUAAAAUUUUUUUGAAGGAGGAUUUAAAUGUAAGGGUAUUUUAAUAAGCUACCUUGACUUGAGCUCUAAGCUAUGUACACAUCGCCCGUCGCUCUCGUUAAUUAAAGCGAGAUAAGUCGUAACAUAGUAGGUGUACUGGAAAGUGCACCUAGUAGGCA